RNAcentral lists this long non-coding RNA (449 nucleotides) under Theobroma cacao (cacao). RNAcentral's name for it is "long non-coding RNA (TCAC_LNC000115)". Lineage: Eukaryota; Viridiplantae; Streptophyta; Magnoliopsida; Malvales; Malvaceae. The record is from RNAcentral.
UAGUAUUGCACAUGAGGCAAAAAUCAUAUAUAAAAGAGACAACCCUCCAUGUGUUGUCAGUAAAAUGGAGCAGGUAUCUGUGAUCCAGGAGGACACCAAUGAUGAUUCUGGGAAUAGAUUACAAAACAAACUGGUGGCUGAAGAUGCUGCAUUGCAAUGUAAGAAGUUGGUGAGAAGUGAACCUUGUGAGAAAAGAUCAGAGAACAAGCUAGACACCAAUGAUACUGUUAUGCUGAGUGAGGAGAUGAGAAGGGAAACUUAUUAUGAGUAUAUAUUUGAAAACGAGCAGGUGGAUGAAACUGCAAUGCUAUGCGAGAAGUUAACGAGAAAGGAAAUUCAUAACAAGUGUUCUUACUCCAUUGGAUCUUCAAAGAGCUAUAGUGACAGCUUUCGAAAGUUGUACAGGUCAAUGAAUGUGCCUGUGCCUAAGCCUCUUCCCUCUUUGGUGG